This 68-nucleotide transfer RNA is filed under the name Regioscalpellum regium. Its description in RNAcentral is "tRNA-Leu". It matches the Rfam family "tRNA". From Rfam's summary of the family: Transfer RNA (tRNA) molecules are approximately 80 nucleotides in length. Lineage: Eukaryota; Metazoa; Arthropoda; Thecostraca; Scalpellidae. The record is from RNAcentral.
AUAAGUUUGACAGAUAAAUGUAUCAGGUUUAGAAUCUGCUCAUAAAAGUUAAAUUCUUUUAAUUUAUA